GCAAAAGGUAUGUGUUUGCUUUUGGAUGAGUGCCAUCAAGAAUUUCCUUGCAUUAAACCAUUUUUAUGCAUUGGGAAUAUAAGGGAAGGGAAAUAGGUAUGUUCUCUGAUUCCCUUUCCUCAUUUUUCAAUUCCUAGUCUCUGCCUUAUGAGAAUUAGGCAAUCAGUACCUUUUCAUUUUCUUCAGUCUUGAGGCACUUGAAAUUCAAUGAUUGAGUUCAG
This 221-nucleotide unclassified non-coding RNA is filed under the name Hevea brasiliensis (rubber tree). Lineage: Eukaryota; Viridiplantae; Streptophyta; Magnoliopsida; Malpighiales; Euphorbiaceae. The record is from RNAcentral.